UGUUAAAAUUUUCAUCCACUUAUACUGUUAAAAACUAGCAUAGCUGACAAAAUAACCGUAUAAUUAAAUGUGAUGUGCUAUGUGUACCUCAUGUUAAUAUACAUUGACUAGUUUUUAAUAGUAGAAGUAGAUGGAACUUUUAACA
This 145-nucleotide microRNA precursor is filed under the name Gossypium arboreum. Its description in RNAcentral is "MIR7502 microRNA precursor family". It matches the Rfam family "MIR7502 microRNA precursor family". The record is from Rfam by way of RNAcentral. Lineage: Eukaryota; Viridiplantae; Streptophyta; Magnoliopsida; Malvales; Malvaceae.